RNAcentral lists this ribosomal RNA (405 nucleotides) under Oenococcus oeni. Its description in RNAcentral is "bacterial LSU rRNA". It matches the Rfam family "Bacterial large subunit ribosomal RNA", at positions 1 to 408 of the family's 2925-position model. Lineage: Bacteria; Bacillati; Bacillota; Bacilli; Lactobacillales; Lactobacillaceae. The record is from RNAcentral.
AUAGGUUAAGUUAAUAAGGGCGCAUGGUGGAUGCCUUGGCACUAGAAGGCGAUGAAGGACGUGACUAACUACGAUAUGCCUCGGUUAGCUGUAAGUAAGCUUACCCGGGGGUUUCCGAAUGGGGCAACCCGAUCUUAAUGAUCAUCAUCUUUUUGAAUUCAUAGAUUAGAUGAAGCAAACGCUGUGAACUGAAACAUCUCAGUAGCAGUAGGAAAGUAAAGAAAUUUCGAUUCCGUCAGUAGCGGCGAGCGAACGCGGAAGAGCCCAAACCUGGAUGCUUGCAUCCAGGGGUUGUAGGACUGAUGUUGAGUUACAAAGGUAUAAGAUAGCAGAAACAGUUGGGAAGCUGUUCCAAAGAGGGUGACAGGCCCGUAUGCGAAAUCUUGUACUCUCUAAUCAGGAUCC